RNAcentral lists this unclassified non-coding RNA (368 nucleotides) under Hevea brasiliensis (rubber tree). Lineage: Eukaryota; Viridiplantae; Streptophyta; Magnoliopsida; Malpighiales; Euphorbiaceae. The record is from RNAcentral.
UUAAAAAAAAAAAAAAAAAAUUAUAACACGUAUCUUCAUUUUUGUGUUCUAACCAUCAUAUCAAGUUCACACGCAAGAUAUAUGUAGAAAAAAUGGUUUAAUUAACAAAAUAUGGCCAUCAAUAAUGACUACUUGUUCAACUCUAUGAAAACAAACUCAAACUAACUUAGAACUUAGCACAUUAAGUAGUUAAAAAAAAUUACGAUAUUGUUAUGACACUGGUAGCAUAUGCAAGAGUCUAGUGAAAUUAAUAAUAUCUGUAUUUUUAUGAUAACUUCAAGAUUUUCAAAGAGUCCAAAAACUACACAAUAGUAAAACUAGCAUAGAUGAAAGAGAGAACUCACAUGCUCUUCUUUCCAUUUAGAUGG